This 54-nucleotide transfer RNA is filed under the name Daphnia similis. RNAcentral describes it as "tRNA-Trp". Lineage: Eukaryota; Metazoa; Arthropoda; Branchiopoda; Diplostraca; Daphniidae. The record is from RNAcentral.
AGAAUUUUAAGUUAAUGAAACUAAAAGCCUUCAAAGCUUUAAUUAAGAAUAAUC